CUCUACCAACCACAGAGCCAUAACAGCCCCAGAAAACUGCACACACUGACCAGGGUGACUGGCUAAGAGACCGCAGAUACUGAGUGGCACACACAGCUCUCCUCCGGUGGAUGGACAGAAGGACACGACAGAUGCUGAAGAUGAGCAAGUUCAUGCAGUCCAGAUGUUGGAAUAGCCCAGCACAGGUGACCCUGCUUUCCACAAGCUCAGCUCCCUUGUUCUGAUGACAUGAACAGAUCACCAGCAGGAUUAAGUACCCCAGAGAAACCAGCCAAAAUCACUGAGUCACUCCUACCAGAACGCAAGACUUGUGGGUUAUGAUGCCCCUAGGGAAGAGAGGUGGCUCAGUGGGUGAUGUCGGAUCUUGCAAGGGACUGGAGCCUGGUUCCCAGCACAAGCUCCUGCAACUCAAACGCCAGGGAUCUGAUGUCUCUGAAAAUCAACGUGACAUAUCUGAAAAAGAGAGAAACUUCGUGACUGGGGAGACGGCUCAGAGGUUAAGAGCACUGGCUGCUCUUCCAGAGGACUCAGCUUCAAUUCCCAGCAGCCACGUGGCAGUGCACAACUGUCUGUAACUCCAGUUUCAGGGGACCCUCAAAUAGGCAUAUAUGCAGACAAAACAUCA
Long non-coding RNA from Meriones unguiculatus (Mongolian gerbil), 625 nucleotides. RefSeq lists it as uncharacterized. The record is from RefSeq and is a predicted model, not a curated record. Lineage: Eukaryota; Metazoa; Chordata; Mammalia; Rodentia; Muridae. The transcript has 4 exons.